RNAcentral lists this ribosomal RNA (793 nucleotides) under uncultured sediment archaeon. RNAcentral describes it as "bacterial SSU rRNA". It matches the Rfam family "Archaeal small subunit ribosomal RNA", at positions 1 to 802 of the family's 1478-position model. The record is from RNAcentral.
UCCGGUUGAUCCUGCCGGACCUGACUGCUAUCGGAUUGAUACUAAGCCAUGCGAGUCAUUGUAGCAAUACAAGGCAGACGGCUCAGUAACGCGUAGUCAACCUACCCUAUGGACGGGAAUAACCUCGGGAAACUGAGUAUAAUGCCCGAUAGAACACUAUACCUGGAAUGGUUUGUGUUUCAAAUGAUUUAUUGCCAUAGGAUGGGACUGCGGCCUAUCAGUUUGUUGGUGAGGUAAUGGCCCACCAAGACUAUUACAGGUACGGGCUCUGAGAGGAGUGGCCCGGAGAUGGGUACUGAGACACGGACCCAGGCCCUAUGGGGCGCAGCAGGCGAGAAAACUUUGCAAUGUGCGAAAGCACGACAAGGUUAAUCCGAGUGGUUUCUGCUAAAGGAACCUUUUGACAGUCCUAGAAACACUGUUGAAUAAGGGGUGGGCAAGUUCUGGUGUCAGCCGCCGCGGUAAAACCAGCACCUCAAGUGGUCAGGAUGAUUAUUGGGCCUAAAGCAUCCGUAGCCGGCUCAGUAAGUUUUCGGUUAAAUCUGUACGCUUAACGUACAGGCUGCCGGGAAUACUGCAGAGCUAGGGAGUGGGAGAGGUAGACGGUACUCGGGAGGAAGUGGUAAAAUGCUUUGAUCUUUCGAUGACCACCUGUGGCGAAGGCGGUCUACCAGAACACGUCCGACGGUGAGGGAUGAAAGCUGGGGGAGCAAACCGGAUUAGAUACCCGGGUAGUCCCAGCUGUAAACUAUGCAAACUCAGUGAUGCAUUGGCUUGUGGCCAAUGCAGUGUU